CUUUAUUGAGGUGUAAUCAAUAUAGGAAAACUGCACAUAUUUAAUGUAUACAAGUUGAUAAAUUUGGACAUAUAUGCAUAUACCCAUGAAACUAUCACCACAAGAAGCGAGUCAUAGCUGCAUAUGGCUAUAGAUGUGAAAUGACAGGGGAGUGCUGAAGAAACUAUUGCUUAUAAACAGAAGGGACUUGCCUUGUCUCAGAUGAGACUUUGGACUUAGACUUUUGGGUAAUGCUGCAAUGAGCUAAGACCUGCGCUGAUGGAAAGAUGCAGAUAAGAAACGUGGGAAGCCACAAGAAAGCCAAGUAGCCUGGGAAAAAGUGGUCAUUGAGCCAUGAGAAAAAAUUAACAUUUGAUCCUGUUGGUGCCACCUGAAGGCAGAGAUGGCUGAGGACCCCCGAGUAAUGUAUGAAUGAAAGACUUAAGAAUACAUCUGACCCAGGCAGCCUGGGUUCAACUCUCCAUGUGAGAAUACCAAGCUUGGCUGGGCACAGUGCCUCACAUCUGUAAUCCCAACACUUUGAGAGGCUGCGGCAGGAAGAUUACUUGAAGCCAAGAGCUGGCGAACAACCUGGGCAACAAAGUGAGACUUCAUCUCUACAAUUUUUUUUUUAAUUAGCCGGAUGCAGUGGUGCACACCUGUAGUCUCAGCUUCUCAGGAGGCUGAAGUAGGAUUGCUUGAGCCUGUGAGCCCAGAAGUUUGAGACGGCAGUGAGUUACGAUCACACCACUGCAUUAGAGCCUGAAUGGCAGAGUGAGAGCCUAUCUCUAAACUAAGUAAACAAAUACAGACAUACAUACAUAAAGUAAGAAUUAUUAUAAUAACAAGAAUACAAGCAGUCUGCAAUUUGUGUUUAUGGUGCUAACUGCAACUCAUGUAUGUGGUACCCUCAUUUUUCACAAUAUCAUGGUAACUAAAUAACUGUGCAAAUUAAGAGUACAGUUCUUAUGUGUAUGUUUUAUAGUUAAUACAUACUGUUCAAAAAAAGAACUACCUGUACUAAAUAAGAAUAAUAUAGGUGGACUUGUCUACUGCCUAAUAAAACACAUGAUAAAGCACUACAAAUGAAAGACAAUAGUUCUUACAAGCAAAUAGGGAAUGCAGAGGAAAAAUAAUAGAGGGGCAUCUCAGUCAAGAUUCAAAUUUAGUUUAUAAUAAAUACAAAACUUUUCUCUCAAUUUCUGGAUCUGGAUUAUAU
Molecule: long non-coding RNA, 1198 nt
Filed under: Homo sapiens (human)
Lineage: Eukaryota; Metazoa; Chordata; Mammalia; Primates; Hominidae
Description: HSALNT0192773
Source: RNAcentral